GGCUUAGAAGCAGCCAUCAUUUAAAGAAAGCGUAAUAGCUCACUGGUCGAGUCGGCCUGCGCGGAAGAUGUAACGGGGCUAAACCAUGCACCGAAGCUGCGGCAGCGACACUCAGGUGUUGUUGGGUAGGGGAGCGUUCUGUAAGCCUGCGAAGGUGGCCUGUGAGGGUUGCUGGAGGUAUCAGAAGUGCGAAUGCUGACAUAAGUAACGAUAAAGCGGGUGAAAAGCCCGCUCGCCGGAAGACCAAGGGUUCCUGUCCAACGUUAAUCGGGGCAGGGUGAGUCGACCCCUAAGGCGAGGCCGAAAGGCGUAGUCGAUGGGAAACGGGUUAAUAUUCCCGUACUUGGUGUUACUGCGAAGGGGGGACGGAGAAGGCUAUGUUGGCCGGGCGACGGUUGUCCCGGUUUAAGCGUGUAGGUGUGUGUUCCAGGUAAAUCCGGUUCACUUUAACACUGAGGCGUGAUGACGAGGCACUACGGUGCUGAAGCAACAAAUGCCCUGCUUCCAGGAAAAGCCUCUAAGCAUCAGGUAACAUCAAAUCGUACCCCAAACCGACACAGGUGGUCAGGUAGAGAAUACCAAGGCGCUUGAGAGAACUCGGGUGAAGGAACUAGGCAAAAUGGUGCCGUAACUUCGGGAGAAGGCACGCUGACACGUAGGUGAAGUGAUUUACUCAUGGAGCUGAAGUCAGUCGAAGAUACCAGCUGGCUGCAACUGUUUAUUAAAAACACAGCACUGUGCAAACACGAAAGUGGACGUAUACGGUGUGACGCCUGCCCGGUGCCGGAAGGUUAAUUGAUGGGGUCAGCGCAAGCGAAGCUCCUGAUCGAAGCCCCGGUAAACGGCGGCCGUAACUAUAACGGUCCUAAGGUAGCGAAAUUCCUUGUCGGGUAAGUUCCGACCUGCACGAAUGGCGUAAUGAUGGCCAGGCUGUCUCCACCCGAGACUCAGUGAAAUUGAACUCGCUGUGAAGAUGCAGUGUACCCGCGGCAAGACGGAAAGACCCCGUGAACCUUUACUAUAGCUUGACACUGAACAUUGAGCCUUGAUGUGUAGGAUAGGUGGGAGGCUUUGAAGUGUGGACGCCAGUCUGCAUGGAGCCGGCCUUGAAAUACCACCCUUUAAUGUUUGAUGUUCUAACGUGGACCCGUGAUCCGGGUUGCGGACAGUGUCUGGUGGGUAGUUUGACUGGGGCGGUCUCCUCCUAAAGAGUAACGGAGGAGCACGAAGGUUGGCUAAUCCUGGUCGGACAUCAGGAGGUUAGUGCAAUGGCAUAAGCCAGCUUGACUGCGAGCGUGACGGCGCGAGCAGGUGCGAAAGCAGGUCAUAGUGAUCCGGUGGUUCUGAAUGGAAGGGCCAUCGCUCAACGGAUAAAAGGUACUCCGGGGAUAACAGGCUGAUACCGCCCAAGAGUUCAUAUCGACGGCGGUGUUUGGCACCUCGAUGUCGGCUCAUCACAUCCUGGGGCUGAAGUAGGUCCCAAGGGUAUGGCUGUUCGCCAUUUAAAGUGGUACGCGAGCUGGGUUUAGAACGUCGUGAGACAGUUCGGUCCCUAUCUGCCGUGGGCGCUGGAGAACUGAGGGGGGCUGCUCCUAGUACGAGAGGACCGGAGUGGACGCAUCACUGGUGUUCGGGUUGUCAUGCCAAUGGCACUGCCCGGUAGCUAAAUGCGGAAGAGAUAAGUGCUGAAAGCAUCUAAGCACGAAACUUGCCCCGAGAUGAGUUCUCCCUGAGACUUUAGGUCUCCUGAAGGAACGUUGAAGACGACGACGUUGAUAGGCCGGGUGUGUAAGCGCAGCGAUGCGUUGAGCUAACCGGUACUAAUGAACCGUGAGGCUUAACCUUACA
This 1848-nucleotide ribosomal RNA is filed under the name Salmonella enterica. RNAcentral's name for it is "partial 23S ribosomal RNA". It matches the Rfam family "Bacterial large subunit ribosomal RNA", at positions 1103 to 2925 of the family's 2925-position model. The record is from RNAcentral. Lineage: Bacteria; Pseudomonadati; Pseudomonadota; Gammaproteobacteria; Enterobacterales; Enterobacteriaceae.